This 585-nucleotide ribosomal RNA is filed under the name Pseudomonas sp. StFRB097. RNAcentral's name for it is "bacterial SSU rRNA". It matches the Rfam family "Bacterial small subunit ribosomal RNA", at positions 102 to 683 of the family's 1533-position model. RNAcentral also lists the same sequence under 5 other names. The record is from RNAcentral. Lineage: Bacteria; Pseudomonadati; Pseudomonadota; Gammaproteobacteria; Pseudomonadales; Pseudomonadaceae.
ACGGGUGAGUAAUGCCUAGGAAUCUGCCUGGUAGUGGGGGACAACGUUUCGAAAGGAACGCUAAUACCGCAUACGUCCUACGGGAGAAAGCAGGGGACCUUCGGGCCUUGCGCUAUCAGAUGAGCCUAGGUCGGAUUAGCUAGUUGGUGGGGUAAUGGCUCACCAAGGCGACGAUCCGUAACUGGUCUGAGAGGAUGAUCAGUCACACUGGAACUGAGACACGGUCCAGACUCCUACGGGAGGCAGCAGUGGGGAAUAUUGGACAAUGGGCGAAAGCCUGAUCCAGCCAUGCCGCGUGUGUGAAGAAGGUCUUCGGAUUGUAAAGCACUUUAAGUUGGGAGGAAGGGCAGUAAGCGAAUACCUUGCUGUUUUGACGUUACCGACAGAAUAAGCACCGGCUAACUCUGUGCCAGCAGCCGCGGUAAUACAGAGGGUGCAAGCGUUAAUCGGAAUUACUGGGCGUAAAGCGCGCGUAGGUGGUUUGUUAAGUUGGAUGUGAAAGCCCCGGGCUCAACCUGGGAACUGCAUCCAAAACUGGCAAGCUAGAGUACGGUAGAGGGUGGUGGAAUUUCCUGUGUAGCGGUG